This 2027-nucleotide ribosomal RNA is filed under the name wastewater metagenome. RNAcentral describes it as "bacterial LSU rRNA". It matches the Rfam family "Bacterial large subunit ribosomal RNA", at positions 266 to 2309 of the family's 2925-position model. The record is from RNAcentral.
AGCCUAAACCGCCGUUGUUUUGGCAAGGGCGGGGUUGCAGGACCCUAUUAGUGAUGUUAUAAAAGAAGUGGAAGUUGUCUGGAAAGGCACACCGCAGGGCGUGAAAGUCGCGUACAUGCAAUUGAAUAACAACACAAGGGAAUCCUAAGUAGGGCGGGACACGAGGAAUCCUGUCUGAAUCCACGGGGACCAUCCCGUAAGGCUAAAUAUUACCGGAAGACCGAUAGUGAACCAGUACUGUGAAGGAAAGGUGAAAAGUACCCCGGACAGGGGGGUGAAAAAGAACCUGAAACCGUACGCCUACAAGCGGUCGGAGCGGGCAAGAGUCCGUAACGGCGUGCCUUUUGCAUAAUGAGCCUACGAGUUACUGUUGCUAGCCAGGUUAAGUACUUCAGGUACGGAGCCGAAGCGAAAGCGAGUCUGAACAGGGCGUGCUGAGUUAGCAGUAGUAGACGCGAAACCUAGUGAUCUACCCUUGGCCAGGUUGAAGUAUCCGUAAAAGGAUAUGGAGGACCGAACCAGUAUCCGUUGAAAAGGAUUUGGAUGAGCUGAGGGUAGGGGUGAAAGGCUAAUCAAACUGGGAGAUAGCUCGUACUCCCCGAAAUGUCUUUUGGGACAGCCUCAAGCUACAGAGUUUACCGGAGGUAGAGCUACUGAUAGGAUGCGAGGGCUUCACCGCCUAUCAAAUCCUGACAAACUCCGAAUGCCGGUAAAUGAUGCUUGGGAGUGAGUUGCCGGGUGCUAAUGUCCGGUAGCGAGAGGGAAAGAGCCCAGACCAACGGCUAAGGCCCCUAAAGUGUGUUAAGUUGACAGAACGAGGUGCGGUUGCUGAGACAGCUAGGAUGUUAGCUUGGAAGCAGCUAAUCAUUUAAAGAGUGCGUAACAGCUCACUAGUCAAGCGACUGUGCGUGGAUAAUAAUCGGGCAUCAAACACACUGCCGAAGCCAUGGACUUCAAAGAAGUGGUAGGGGAGCAUUCCAGAGGGCGUAGAAGGAUAACCUGUGAAGGAAUCUGGAGCGUCUGGAAAAGCAGAUGUAGGCAUAAGUAACGAUAAUGCGGGUUAAAAACCCGCACACCGCAAGCCCAAGGUUUCCUGAUCAAUGUUAGACAGAUCAGGGUUAGUCAGGACCUAAGGGGAAUCCGAGAGGAGCACCCGAUGGACAAAUGGUUAAUAUUCCAUUACCUGUAUGAUAAAGGGGAGGAGUGACGUAGGAGUGACAUGUACGCCGACUGACGGAAUAGUUGGUUAAAGCACGUAAGCAGAUCCGAAGAUUAAGAGUCAUUGGAUGCAGAAGUGCGACAGUACCGCAAGGCUUCGGCUGCGCGGAUAGUUACAGUAAGCAGACUACCGAGAAAAGCUUCGUACCCGUUACCUAUCAUAGAGCCUGUACCGUAAACCGACACAGGUGGGCGAGGAGAGUAUCCUCAGGUGCUCGAGAGAAUCAUGGCUAAGGAACUCGGCAAAAUGACCCCGUAACUUCGGGAAAAGGGGUCCCUGGCGACAGGGCGCAGAGAAAUGGCCCAGGCGACUGUUUAACAAAAACACAUGGCUUUGCAAAAUCGCAAGAUGAAGCAUAAGGCCUGACACCUGCCCGGUGCUGGAAGGUUAAGAGGGGGCGUCAGCCGCAAGGCGAAGCGCUGAAUCGAAGCCCCAGUAAACGGCGGCCGUAACUAUAACGGUCCUAAGGUAGCGAAAUUCCUUGUCGGGUAAGUUCCGACCUGCACGAAUGGUGUAACGAUCUGGGCGCUGUCUCAGCCAUGAGCUCGGUGAAAUUGUAGUAACGGUGAAGAUGCCGUUUACCCGCAACGGGACGAAAAGACCCCGUGAACCUUUACUAUAGCUUAGCGCUGAUUUUGGAUAAGUGAUGUGUAGGAUAGGUGGGAGACUGCGAAGCAGGUACGCCAGUAUUUGUGGAGUCGCCGUUGAAAUACCACCCUUUGCUUAUCUGGGAUCUAACUUGAACAAGGACACCGCUUGGUGGGUAGUUUGACUGGGGUGGUCGCCUCCAAAAGCGUAACGGAGGCUU